UACGGGGGGGGCAAGCGUUGUUCGGAAUUACUGGGCGUAAAGGGCUCGUAGGUGGCCAACUAAGUCGGACGUGAAAUCCCUCGGCUUAACCGGGGAACUGCGUCUGAUACUGGAUGGCUUGAGUUCGGGAGAGGGAUGCGGAAUUCCCAGUGUAGCGGUGAAAUGCGUAGAUAUUGGGAAGAACACCUGAGGCGAAGGCGGGUUGCUGGGCUGACACUGACGCUGAGGCGCGAAAGCCAGGGGAGCGAACGGG
This 253-nucleotide ribosomal RNA is filed under the name uncultured bacterium. Its description in RNAcentral is "partial 16S ribosomal RNA". It matches the Rfam family "Bacterial small subunit ribosomal RNA", at positions 524 to 776 of the family's 1533-position model. The record is from RNAcentral.